This 486-nucleotide ribosomal RNA is filed under the name uncultured bacterium. Its description in RNAcentral is "partial 16S ribosomal RNA". It matches the Rfam family "Bacterial small subunit ribosomal RNA", at positions 30 to 507 of the family's 1533-position model. The record is from RNAcentral.
AUUGAACGCUGGCGGCAUGCCUUACACAUGCAAGUCGAACGGCAGCACGGGUGCUUGCACCUGGUGGCGAGUGGCGAACGGGUGAGUAAUACAUCGGAACAUGUCCUGUAGUGGGGGAUAGCCCGGCGAAAGCCGGAUUAAUACCGCAUACGAUCUACGGAUGAAAGCGGGGGCCCUUCGGGCCUCGCGCUAUAGGGUUGGCCGAUGGCUGAUUAGCUAGUUGGUGGGGUAAAGGCCUACCAAGGCGACGAUCAGUAGCUGGUCUGAGAGGACGACCAGCCAAACUGGGACUGAGACACGGCCCAGACUCCUACGGGAGGCAGCAGUGGGGAAUGUUGGACAAUGGGCGAAAGCCUGAUCCAGCAAUGCCGCGUGUGUGAAGAAGGCCUUCGGGUUGUAAAGCACUUUUGUCCGGAAAGAAAUCCUUGGCCCUAAUACGGUCGGGGGAUGACGGUACCGGAAGAAUAAGCACCGGCUAACUACGUG